UAUAAUUACUACCUAAUUGUGCGUUAUGCAUUAGGGAAAAAAAAAGAGAACUUACCUCUAUAAUGCUUCAAAUCUAACUCUCGUUUUCCUAUUUCAAUUCCUUACGUUUUUCCUCCUUGUUCUCCUUAUUAUUUUCUAACUCUUCUUAUAUUUCUAGAUCACCUAAAAUUGAUCACAUCGUAACACAAUAAUAAAUGUGAGGAUAAGAUUAUGAAAAAAUCAUAUUGUGGUAAAGAAAUUAAUAGAGGUAAU
RNAcentral lists this long non-coding RNA (252 nucleotides) under Carica papaya (papaya). Its description in RNAcentral is "long non-coding RNA (CPAP_LNC000863)". The record is from RNAcentral. Lineage: Eukaryota; Viridiplantae; Streptophyta; Magnoliopsida; Brassicales; Caricaceae.